AUUGAACGCUGGCGGCAGGCCUAACACAUGCAAGUCGAGCGGAUGAAGGGAGCUUACUCCUGGAUUCAGCGGCGGACGGGUGAGUAAUGCCUAGGAAUCUGCCUGGUAGUGGGGGAUAACGUCCGGAAACGGGCGCUAAUACCGCAUACGUCCUGAGGGAGAAAGUGGGGGAUCUUCGGACCUCACGCUAUCAGAUGAGCCUAGGUCGGAUUAGCUAGUUGGUGGGGUAAAGGCCUACCAAGGCGACGAUCCGUAACUGGUCUGAGAGGAUGAUCAGUCACACUGGAACUGAGACACGGUCCAGACUCCUACGGGAGGCAGCAGUGGGGAAUAUUGGACAAUGGGCGAAAGCCUGAUCCAGCCAUGCCGCGUGUGUGAAGAAGGUCUUCGGAUUGUAAAGCACUUUAAGUUGAGAGGAAGGGCAGUAAGUUAAUACCUUGCUGUUUUGACGUUACCAACAGAAUAAGCACCGGCUAACUUCGUG
RNAcentral lists this ribosomal RNA (484 nucleotides) under uncultured bacterium. RNAcentral's name for it is "partial 16S ribosomal RNA". It matches the Rfam family "Bacterial small subunit ribosomal RNA", at positions 30 to 507 of the family's 1533-position model. The record is from RNAcentral.